UGACUUGUCAGACAGAGCUUCUAAAGCCU
Molecule: non-coding RNA, 29 nt
Filed under: Bombyx mori (domestic silkworm)
Lineage: Eukaryota; Metazoa; Arthropoda; Insecta; Lepidoptera; Bombycidae
Source: RNAcentral